Molecule: non-coding RNA, 74 nt
Organism: Podarcis lilfordi (Lilford's wall lizard)
Lineage: Eukaryota; Metazoa; Chordata; Lepidosauria; Squamata; Lacertidae
Source: the annotation of a GenBank genome assembly
AGGGCCAUAGCUCAGUGGUAGAGCAUCUGCUUUGCAUGCAGAAAAGGUCCCAUGUUCAAUCCCUGGUGGCUCCA